AACACUGUGCCAAAAAGAUAAACUUCUCUUAGACACAAGCGUCUUCAGAGAAUUUCCUAUUUUGGUUUUGUGUU
RNAcentral lists this non-coding RNA (74 nucleotides) under unclassified sequences. The record is from RNAcentral.